This 316-nucleotide ribosomal RNA is filed under the name uncultured bacterium. RNAcentral describes it as "bacterial SSU rRNA". It matches the Rfam family "Bacterial small subunit ribosomal RNA", at positions 29 to 334 of the family's 1533-position model. The record is from RNAcentral.
AACGAACGUUGGCGGCGUGGAUGAGGCAUGCAAGUCGAACGCGAAAACUAGUUGAGUAGCGUGGCGAACGGGUGAGUAACACGUAAUCAAGCUACCCACGAGACAGGGAUAACUCCGGGAAACCGGGGCUAAUACCUGAUAGUCUCCGAGCAUCGCAUGUUGCUUGGAGUAAAUGGACGGGAUCCUUCGGGAUCGCCUGCUCGUGGAGGUGAUUGCGGCCCAUCAGCUAGUUGGUAGGGUAAUGGCCUACCAAGGCAACGACGGGUAGCCGGCCUAAGAGGGUGGUCGGUCACACUGGGACUGAGACACUGCCCAG